GACGAACGCUGGCGGCGUGCUUAACACAUGCAAGUCGAACGGAAAGGCCCUGCUUUUGUGGGUCGCUCGAGUGGCGAACGGGUGAGUAACACGUGAGUAACCUCCCCUUGACUUUGGGAUAACUUCAGGAAACUGGGUCUAAUACCGGAUAGGAUCUCCUGCUGCAUGGUGGGGGUUGGAAAGUUUCGGCGGUUGGGUAUGGACUCGCGGCUUAUCAGCUUGUUGGUGGGGUAGUGGCUUACCAAGGCUUUGACGGGUAGCCGGCCUGAGAGGGUGACCGGCCACAUUGGGACUGAGAUACGGCCCAGACUCAUACGGGAGGAAGCAGUGGGGAAUAUUGCACGAUGGGCGGAAGCAUGAUGCAGCAACGCCGCGUGCGGGAUGACGGCCUUCGGGUUGUAAACCGCUUUCGCCUGUGACGAAGCGUGAGUGACGGUAAUGGGUAAAGAAGCACCGGCUAACUACGUG
Molecule: ribosomal RNA, 468 nt
Filed under: uncultured bacterium
Lineage: Bacteria
Description: partial 16S ribosomal RNA
Rfam family: Bacterial small subunit ribosomal RNA
Source: RNAcentral